This 309-nucleotide ribosomal RNA is filed under the name uncultured bacterium. RNAcentral's name for it is "partial 16S ribosomal RNA". It matches the Rfam family "Bacterial small subunit ribosomal RNA", at positions 504 to 809 of the family's 1533-position model. The record is from RNAcentral.
AGAGACAGCAGUCGCCACGGUAAUACGGAGGAUCCAAGCGUUAUCCGGAAUCAUUGGGUUUAAAGGGUCCGUAGGCGGUCUUGUAAGUCAGUGGUGAAAGCCCAUCGCUCAACGGUGGAACGGCCAUUGAUACUGCAGGACUUGAAUUAUUGGGAAGUAACUAGAAUAUGUAGUGUAGCGGUGAAAUGCUUAGAGAUUACAUGGAAUACCAAUUGCGAAGGCAGGUUACUACCAAUUGAUUGACGCUGAUGGACGAAAGCGUGGGUAGCGAACAGGAUUAGAUACCCCGGUAGUCCCUGUCUCUUAUAA